UUCGUAUAUGGCCCAUGGAAGGACCCGGCAGGCUUCAAUUUUCCCGGUACGCCGAUGUUCGAGACGUGGAUGCAGCU
RNAcentral lists this transfer RNA (77 nucleotides) under Paenibacillus curdlanolyticus. RNAcentral's name for it is "tRNA-Sec". The record is from RNAcentral. Lineage: Bacteria; Bacillati; Bacillota; Bacilli; Caryophanales; Paenibacillaceae.